UGCGUGUCAAUGCGCACCUAGAGCGUACACGCUGAUACCCGAAAGAUGGUGAACUAUGCCUGGCCAGGACGAAGCCAGGGGAAACCCUGGUGGAGGUCCGCAGCGAUUCUGACGUGCAAAUCGAUCGUCGGAGCUGGGUAUAGGGGCGAAAGACCAAUCGAACCAUCUAGUAGCUGGUUCCCUCUGAAGUUUCCCUCAGGAUAGCUUGCGCUCGGUUGAGAAGAGUCUCAUCCGGUAGAGCGAAUGAUUAGAGGCAUUGGGGUCGAAACGACCUCAACCUAUUCUCAAACUCCAAAUAGAUGAGACCCCCGGCUUCUUAAA
Molecule: ribosomal RNA, 321 nt
Filed under: Phonoctonus sp. 00051666
Lineage: Eukaryota; Metazoa; Arthropoda; Insecta; Hemiptera; Reduviidae
Description: eukaryotic LSU rRNA
Rfam family: Eukaryotic large subunit ribosomal RNA
Source: RNAcentral